CCAAUGUUUUAAGUGCUUGAAAAAAAUGUUCUGGUCUUGACUGUCUGUGAGAGCCUUCCUGGUGGAAACAGAAUUGUUAGUCAGCUGUCAUCUCCAUGGUGAUUUUUUAAGGCUAAGUGCUGAACCAGAUUUCUUUUCAUUAUGGGAGUGAAAAUGAACUCAGCGGAUUUUCUCCCCGAUUCCUCUCCAUUUUCUGUUUUCAGACUUCUCCAUCAUGUUCUUGUGCCUGGCAGUGUUAAGGGGCUACUAUUUGGUUGGAAGAAGCCUUUGGAAAAGUUGUUGAAGAGUCACGUGCACAAGUGAUGUGCUGAGCAGACUGGAUCUUGCCUGAUGGCCAGAAAAUUAAAACAACACUGAAAUUAAUAAAAAUUCAAACUCCCA
This 381-nucleotide long non-coding RNA is filed under the name Homo sapiens (human). Its description in RNAcentral is "HSALNT0224034". Lineage: Eukaryota; Metazoa; Chordata; Mammalia; Primates; Hominidae. The record is from RNAcentral.